This 425-nucleotide ribosomal RNA is filed under the name uncultured bacterium. Its description in RNAcentral is "partial 16S ribosomal RNA". It matches the Rfam family "Bacterial small subunit ribosomal RNA", at positions 354 to 796 of the family's 1533-position model. The record is from RNAcentral.
GUGAGGAAUUUUGCGCAAUGGGGGCAACCCUGACGCAGCGACGCCGCGUGGAGGACGAAGUCUUUCGGGAUGUAAACUCCUGUCAGUGGGGACGAUAAUGACGGUACCCACAGAGGAAGCACCGGCUAACUCCGUACCAGCAGCCGCGGUAAGACGGAGGGUGCAAGCGUUGUUCGGAAUUACUGGGCGUAAAGCGUAUGUAGGCGGCAAGUUAAGUUCAAUGUUAAAGCCCACGGCUCAACCGAGGAGAUGCAUUGAAUACUGGCUAGCUAGAGGGUGUUAGAGGAAGACGGAAUUCCCAGUGUAGCGGUGAAAUGCGUAGAUAUUGGGAGGAACAUCGGUAGCGAAAGCGGUCUUCUGGGACAUACCUGACGCUGAGGUACGAAAGCGUGGGGAGCAAACGGGAUUAGAAACCCCAGUAGUCC